GACGGAGGGCGCGAGCGUUGUUCGGAAUUACUGGGCGUAAAGCGCACGCAGGCGGUCCGUUAAGUCCUUUGUGAAAGCCCGGGGCUCAACUCCGGAAUUGCAUCGGAUACUGGCGGACUGGAGAUCGGUAGAGGCUAGCGGAAUUCCUGGUGUAGCGGUGGAAUGCGUAGAUAUCAGGAAGAACACCUGUGGCGAAGGCGGCUAGCUGGGCCGAGUCUGACGCUCAUGUGCGAAAGCGUGGGAAGCAAACAGGAUAGAUACCCGCGUA
RNAcentral lists this ribosomal RNA (268 nucleotides) under uncultured prokaryote. RNAcentral describes it as "partial 16S ribosomal RNA". It matches the Rfam family "Bacterial small subunit ribosomal RNA", at positions 524 to 792 of the family's 1533-position model. The record is from RNAcentral.